Molecule: ribosomal RNA, 253 nt
Filed under: uncultured bacterium
Lineage: Bacteria
Description: partial 16S ribosomal RNA
Rfam family: Bacterial small subunit ribosomal RNA
Source: RNAcentral
UACGUAGGGUGCGAGCGUUAAUCGGAAUUACUGGGCGUAAAGCGUGCGCAGGCGGUUUUGUAAGCCAGAUGUGAAAUCCCCGGGCUUAACCUGGGAAUGGCAUUUGGGACUGCAAGGCUCGAGUGCGGCAGAGGAGACUGGAAUUCCUGGUGUAGCAGUGAAAUGCGUAGAUAUCGGGAGGAACACCAGUGGCGAAGGCGGUUGCCUGGAGCUUUGCUGACGCUGAUGCGCGAAAGCGUGGGGAGCGAGCCGG